GACCUGAUGCUGACUGCGUUCUUACUUGACCUACCUGAGAGCGUUCUCUUCCCAUUGUGCUAUGUCUUCUUUAACCGUGCUGCUAGAUUUCUUUCCUACCCAAAGUUGCCCUGGUGAUGCUGCCUUUAAAACAGCUAAGUACUUUGGGAUGGAGUCCUACCUUCUGUCUUCCUCCCCAAGACUCCUGUCUCCCACACAGGAACCCAGAGCUUCAGAAGUUCCCUGCUAUUCCCUCCUUCACUCCUCCCCUUCCUCUCCUCCCUCCAUCCCUCCUUACCUCCCCUCCCCUCCCUCCUUCCUGUCACUACCCACAUAGACUAUUGGGCUGGAAAUACCCUCUUCACCCUGCAUGAACCAAGCACGUCUCCUUUAAGGCUUGGCUAGUACAUGGCCUUUCCCAAUACUCCUGCCGCUUCCUCCCCCUCCUUUCUGAGGCACGCACCCCUCCCUUGUUUCCUGGGUGUCUAAUACAUGGCUUCGAUGCAAAGGAGAGUGUGGCCUCUACAGCUGACUCACUGGAAUCAUCGACUUGGGCUUGAGUUAUGUCUUCAUCAUUUACUGAAUUCAUAUUCAUCCUAUGUUCAGAAAUACUAAUCUCAAUAAGCCUCUAUUUUAAAAAAUCUACACUAGAGAUAGUAUUUAUCACUUUACAUUUUUUUUUUCCUAAUUGCUGUUUGUCUUUUUGAGACAGGACCUCACUGUAUAACCCUGCUGGCCUUGGACUUUGGAUCUUCCUGUGUGGGUUUUCAGCAUGCUGAGAUUAUAGUUCGCUCUACAAAACCUCCCCUCGCUCUAUAGCUGGUGCUAGAACUCCGAGGUCACCAGAUCAGGCACAGCGGCAUCUGUCCUUGACUCCUCCAGCCCAGCUUGGCUACUACAGGAGCCCACAGAGUUUAAGAGUUUUCUCAGAAGCAGCUUUAGUGAAGGUGCUUUUCACAGGCUUUUGUCCCCCCCCCCC
Long non-coding RNA from Peromyscus leucopus (white-footed mouse), 958 nucleotides. RefSeq lists it as uncharacterized. The transcript is spliced from 2 exons. NCBI's taxonomy places the organism in Eukaryota, Metazoa, Chordata, Mammalia, Rodentia, Cricetidae. The record is from RefSeq and is a predicted model, not a curated record.